GACGAACGCUGGCGGCGUGCUUAACACACGCAAGUCGAACGGUGAAGCGCCUUCCUUUUUGGUGGGUGGGGAUGAGUGGCGAACGGGGGAAUAACACGAGAGUAACCUGCCCCGUUCUUCUGGAUAACCGCAAGAAAGUGUGACUAAUACAGGAUAUUCUGGAUCUGUCGCAUGAUGGGUCUGGGACAGAUUUUGUUUCGGUGGGGGAUGGGCUCGCGGCCUAUCAGCUUGUUGGUGGGGUGAUGGCCUACCAAGGCGGUGACGGGUAGCCGGCCUGAGAGGGUCGACGGCACCGCUGCUGCUGCGCCACCGCCCAUCCUCCGACGGGAGGCAGCAGUGGGGAAUAUUGCACAAUGGGCGGCAUCCUGAUGCAGCGCCGCCGCGGGAGUGAUGGAGGUCGUCGCGUUGUGCACUUCUUUCGCCAGUGAAGCAGGCCUGCCUCGUUUGUGGGUGGGUUGACGGUAGCUGGAUAAGAAGCGCCGGCUAACUACGUG
RNAcentral lists this ribosomal RNA (494 nucleotides) under uncultured bacterium. RNAcentral describes it as "partial 16S ribosomal RNA". It matches the Rfam family "Bacterial small subunit ribosomal RNA", at positions 28 to 507 of the family's 1533-position model. The record is from RNAcentral.